AUGGGGGGCAGCCUGAUCCAGCCAUGCCGCGUGUGUGAAGAAGGCCUUCGGGUUGUAAAGCACUUUUGUACGGGAAGAAAUCGUUCGGGCCAAUACCCUGGACGGAUGACGGUACCGUAAGAAUAAGCACCGGCUAACUUCGUGCCAGCAGCCGCGGUAAUACGAAGGGUGCAAGCGUUACUCGGAAUUACUGGGCGUAAAGCGUGCGUAGGCGGUUUGUUAAGUCAGAUGUGAAAUCCCCGGGCUCAACUUGGGAAUGGCAUUUGAUACUGGCGAGCUAGAGUACGGUAGAGGGUGGAUGGAAUUCCCGGUGUAGCGGUGAAAUGCGUAGAGAUCGGGAGGAACAUUCGUGGCGAAGGCGGCCACCUGGACCAGUACUGACGCUGAUGCACGAAAGCGUGGGGAGCAAACAGGAUUAGAUACCCUGGUAGUCCACGCCCUAAACGAUGCGAACUGGACGUUGGGUGCAAUUGAGCAUUCAGUGUCGAAGCUAACGCGUUAAGUUCGCCGCCUGGGGAGUACGGUCGCAAGACUG
Molecule: ribosomal RNA, 535 nt
Filed under: uncultured Pseudomonadota bacterium
Lineage: Bacteria; Pseudomonadati; Pseudomonadota
Description: bacterial SSU rRNA
Rfam family: Bacterial small subunit ribosomal RNA
Source: RNAcentral